AAGGAAUAUUGGUCAAUGGACGUAAGUCUGAACCAGCCCUGCCGCGUGAAGGAUGAAGGUCCUCUGGAAUGUCAACUUCUUUUAUCUGGGACGAAAACGGGAUUUUUAUCUCAAUUGACGGUACCAGAGGAAUAAGCACCGGCUAACUCCGUGCCAGCAGCUGCGGUAAUACGGAGGGUGCGAGCGUUAUCCGGAUUUACUGGGUUUAAAGGGUGCGUAGGUGGGCGUAUAAGUCAGUGGUGAAAUCUCCGAGCUUAACUUGGAAUCUGCCGUUGAUACUAUAGGUCUUGAAUUAUCUGGAGGUAAGCGGAAUAUGGCAUGUAGCGGUGAAAUGCUUAGAUAUGACAUAGAACAACAAUUGC
RNAcentral lists this ribosomal RNA (362 nucleotides) under uncultured bacterium. RNAcentral describes it as "bacterial SSU rRNA". It matches the Rfam family "Bacterial small subunit ribosomal RNA", at positions 356 to 716 of the family's 1533-position model. The record is from RNAcentral.